GUAGGUGGCAAGCGUUGUCCGGAAUUAUUGGGCGUAAAGCGCGCGCAGGCGGUUCUUUAAGUCUGAUGUGAAAGCCCACGGGCUCAACCGUGGAGGGUCAUUGGAACUGGAGAACUUGAGUACAGAAGAGGAAAGCGGAAUUCCACGUGUAGCGGUGAAAUGCGUAGAGAUGUGGAGGAACACCAGUGGCGAAGGCGGCUUUCUGGUCUGUAACUGACGCUGAGGCGCGAAAGCGUGGGGAGCAAACAGGAUUAGAUACCCUGGUAGUCCACGCCGUAAACGAUGAGUGCUAAGUGUUAGGGGGUUUCCGCCCCUUAGUGCUGCAGCUAACGCAUUAAGCACUCCGCCUGGGGAGUACGGCCGCAAAGGCUG
Molecule: ribosomal RNA, 372 nt
Filed under: uncultured organism
Description: partial 16S ribosomal RNA
Rfam family: Bacterial small subunit ribosomal RNA
Source: RNAcentral